Molecule: ribosomal RNA, 2034 nt
Rfam family: Eukaryotic large subunit ribosomal RNA (bases 691-2034)
CACACCGCCCGUCGCUACUACCGAUUGAAUGGCUCAGUGAGGCUUUCGGACUGGCCCAGAGGAGUCGGCAACGACACCUCAGGGCCGGAAAGUUAUCCAAACUCGGUCAUUUAGAGGAAGUAAAAGUCGUAACAAGGUCUCCGUUGGUGAACCAGCGGAGGGAUCAUUAUAGAGUUACAAAAACUCCAAACCCAUGUGAACAUACCAUAUUGUUGCCUCGGCAGGUUGUGCCUACCCUGUAGUAACCUACCCUGUAACGACCUACCCUGGAGUUACCCUGUAGGGACCUACCUGGUGGCGCGCCAGAAGGCCUGCCGAAGGACCCCCAAACUCUAGUUUUAUAAUGGAAUUCUGAAUACGCAACUUAAUAAGUUAAAACUUUCAACAACGGAUCUCUUGGUUCUGGCAUCGAUGAAGAACGCAGCGAAAUGCGAUAAGUAAUGUGAAUUGCAGAAUUCAGUGAAUCAUCGAAUCUUUGAACGCACAUUGCGCCCAUUAGUACUCUAGUGGGCAUGCCUGUUCGAGCGUCAUUUCGACCCUUAAGCCCUGUUGCUUAGUGUUGGGAGCCUACCUACCCUGUAGCUCCUCAAAGUUAGUGGCGGAGUCGGGUCGUACUCUAAGCGUAGUAGUUUCUUCUCGCUUCUGCAGUCGUCCUGGUUCCUGCCGUAAAACCCCUAUAUUUAUCUAGGUUGACCUCGGAUCAGGUAGGAAUACCCGCUGAACUUAAGCAUAUCAAUAAGCGGAGGAAAAGAAACCAACAGGGAUUGCCCUAGUAACGGCGAGUGAAGCGGCAACAGCUCAAAUUUGAAAUCUGGCCCUCGGGUCCGAAUUGUAAUUUGUAGAGGAUGCUUUUGGCGCGGUGCCUUCCGAGUUCCCUGGAACGGGACGCCUUAGAGGGUGAGAGCCCCGUACGGUUGGACACCAAGCCUCUGUAAAGCUCCUUCGACGAGUCGAGUAGUUUGGGAAUGCUGCUCUAAAUGGGAGGUAAAUUUCUUCUAAAGCUAAAUACCGGCCAGAGACCGAUAGCGCACAAGUAGAGUGAUCGAAAGAUGAAAAGCACUUUGAAAAGAGGGUUAAAUAGCACGUGAAAUUGUUGAAAGGGAAGCGUUUACGACCAGACUUUUUCCAGGCGGAUCAUCCGGUGUUCUCACCGGUGCACUUCGCCUGGUUUAGGCCAGCAUCGGUUUUCGUAGGGGGAUAAAAGCUUCGGGAAAGUAGCUCCCUCGGGAGUGUUAUAGCCCGUUGCAUAAUACCCUUAUGGGGACCGAGGAUCGCGCUCUGCAAGGAUGCUGGCAUAAUGGUCGUCAACGACCCGUCUUGAAACACGGACCAAGGAGUCGAACAUUUGUGCGAGUGUUUGGGUGUUAAACCCUCACGCGUAAUGAAAGUGAACGGAGGUGAGAGCCCUUAUGGGUGCAUCAUCGACCGAUCCUGAUGUCUUCGGAUGGAUUUGAGUAAGAGCAUAACUGUUCGGACCCGAAAGAUGGUGAACUAUGCGUGGAUAGGGUGAAGCCAGAGGAAACUCUGGUGGAGGCUCGCAGCGGUUCUGACGUGCAAAUCGAUCGUCAAAUCUGCGCAUGGGGGCGAAAGACUAAUCGAACCAUUGAGAAACCAGCGGUAAAUAAUUCUUUACUAGGUGGUUAAGAGGCCCUUUGAGAGAGAAGGCCUAGGUCCCACCUACCCUGUAGUAAACUACCCUGUAACAAGCUACCCUGGAGCAGCCUACCCUGUAACAAGCUACCCUAUAGCGACUUACCCUGUAAGCGGCUAACCUGGAGUAUGGGGUGGGCGACCGACACCGCUAAAUUGCGGGGACAUCCUAUCCAAGGCCACAGGCUACCGCCGGGCGCUGAAAAGCGUGCCGGCAACCGAGAAUAGCGCUCUCGGGUACGGUAAUAACGCCUGUGGUAGCGGACGACCUGCAGCCAACCCCGUUUUAGGGGAGAGUUCACUGACUAGACAGCGGUGGGUCAGCCCCCGUGGCUGGCCUAAGACAUAGUCGAUCCGGGCCCUGAAAAGGAACCCCUAAUACGA